Sarcophilus harrisii (Tasmanian devil) is the source of this 448-nucleotide long non-coding RNA. RefSeq lists it as uncharacterized. The record is from RefSeq and is a predicted model, not a curated record. The transcript is spliced from 3 exons. NCBI's taxonomy places the organism in Eukaryota, Metazoa, Chordata, Mammalia, Dasyuromorphia, Dasyuridae.
GGACAUACCAAAGGACCCCCAGAAUCACCCUGAGGUUGGGAAGAAAGGUUUAUUAGUUUAGGCUUGAAUAAGAAGCUAUUUUCCUCCCUAGAUUCCAAGCCCACUUUCUCCAGGAUACCCUUUUCCUGCCGUGGCAGAUGAACAAAGUAGGAAUUAGUCUUUCAAGUCUCCCCAGUUCUCCAGUCCACCCACCCAAAAUAGAAAUUAUAGAAACUGGAAGGGCCCUUAGAACCCACUGAGUCCUUUCACCUGAAAAGAUGAAACUGUACUUCAAAUGACUUGCUGAAGAUCUCACAUGACCUACCUGAACUUAUCCAAAGAUCUUUUUCACCUGGGAAGAAAAGGACAGGAUGGCUAGUGAACCCAGGGGCCCUGAGGAUGACACCGGCUUCGAACCUUGAGAAGCAGUGAGCUGCGGUUAGCACCCACUGGCGAGAGAUGAGCGAGG